UACCAGCACCCCGAGUGGUCGGGACGUUUAUUGGGCCUAAAGCAUCCGUAGCCGGUUCUACAAGUCUUCCGUUAAAUCCAACUGCUUAACAGGUGGGCUGCGGAAGAUACUAUAGAGCUAGGAGGCGGGAGAGGCAAGCGGUACUCGAUGGGUUGGGGUAAAAUCCGUUGAUCCAUUGAAGACCACCAGUGGCGAAGGCGGCUUGCCAGAACGCGCUCGACGGUGAGGGAUGAAAGCUGGGGGAGCAAACCGG
This 253-nucleotide ribosomal RNA is filed under the name uncultured bacterium. RNAcentral describes it as "partial 16S ribosomal RNA". It matches the Rfam family "Archaeal small subunit ribosomal RNA", at positions 474 to 727 of the family's 1478-position model. The record is from RNAcentral.